RNAcentral lists this unclassified non-coding RNA (7730 nucleotides) under Leishmania donovani. RNAcentral describes it as "gene:LdHU3.25.2070(CDS-product:ER-Golgi_trafficki ng_TRAPP_I_complex_85_kDa_subunit_putative)". The record is from RNAcentral. Lineage: Eukaryota; Euglenozoa; Kinetoplastea; Trypanosomatida; Trypanosomatidae.
UGAAACUCACCGGCGUCGACGUCGUUGUUUUGCGCGCACGCCGCAGGUGCCGGAAGAUAACGCACACGCAUUCCACGCAUUCUUUCGCUUGUCCUCUUUCUCUUUCGAGGCAGUUGCCCGAUUUCCUUCUCUCUCGAUCUCUCUUGCUGGUGCUCUUAUCACCCACCUCCUUUGCGUUCUCUUCGCUUGGCAGUCGCGUGUGGGUUUCUCCUGCGGCCGUCACCUUUCUCUGAUUCAGCAACGACCUCUCUCUAUCGCCGUGCACGCGCACAUCCACACACGCUCACCUUCAACACUCGCUCUUGCUUCACUACCUCUUGCUACGACAGCCACAGCCACACCCCAUCACGUAUACCGUCGUCUCCCUGUGUUGGUAUUCGCGUGGUCCUCCGCGUGCCGGCUUUGUUACUUGCGUCUGCGUGUUGAGUUUGCGUGCCAGCACGUGUGUGUGUGUGUGUGUGUAUCACCUGCAUAGUCAGUCCCCCGAUCUAAACGUCGCCAUCAUGAGCCUAGAAGACUGGGUGGAGCAGCGGUACGCACGCCCUGUCGUCGUCGUGGAGAGCAGCGCCGCGGCGGAUGCCAUUUGCGCCCGUAAUGGUAUGGAUCUCAUUCACCUGCUACGCCUGCACAGCGUGUACGCGGGCGGGCCGCUCUACGCCCGCAUCGGGGACCGCAGUGAACCGGUUGCGUGCAACAAGUUCGGUGUUCGGCUGAUGCGCACCGAGUGUGUGCGUGACGUUUCGCUGUCCCAGGUGGCACGGCACACUCGGCACCUUCUUCGGAACGCGGCGGCGUUCGACCUUGCCUACGGGGAGCAGCUGGAUGCUGCACUGAGGGACAUUGUUGCAAAGAAUCGCAGCCGCCACGACGGAUCGCUGCCGCGGCCAGUCCGGGCGGCGCAACCGUCCACAGAGUCGUCGUCGCCCCCCGCAGCGUCUGAGGUAAUUGGCGGACCAGCAGCGGUGUCGACGCUACUGGAGCGCGCCUGCCCCACGUGGCACCGCGCCUUCAUUCGCGACCUCCACAGCCUCGUGCGGUGCAGCUCCUUCGACACCAUCGACUACCCCAUCGGGGCUCUCUUCGCCGUUGCCACGACCGAGGCGGGUGGCGUCGAGGGCAUGCUUCAGGUCUUCCGUGCGCAGGCACGGCGCAUCCAAGAGUUGCGCGCCAGCCUCCCAGGCAUGGACACAGAGCUGCACCAGUACUACCUAAUCCUGCACGACAACACGUCACCGCUGAGUCCGUCGCUGAGCACCGCGCGGCAGGUUCUGACAUCCGUGCAGCAGCUCUACGGGGCGAAUUACUGCGCCCUCAUCAAGGUGAACUCCGUCGUCGACCCGCGCACCGUAAAGAACCUCGAUCCGUCCAUGUGGAUCGCGGCCUCGCCGAUGGUGAUGGACGUGCCCUCUGCGCAAGCACUUCAUCAAGCAGCGGCGCAGGCAGCAGCAGCAGCAUCGUCCAACACCGUCACCGCUUCACAAUCUCCUAGCGCGUCCACUACCUCCCCCUCCUCCGGUGCCGCGUCGCCGUCCGGCACCGCUGCUGACUGCGCCCCCGCGCUUUCGUUCCGCGCCGUGCACAGAACCUGCGGCACCUGGCCAAACUCGAACACUGCCAUCAUCACCGGGUGCUACAUGAGUCCCGAGGACGUGACGGACGUGCACAACGUCAUGGCCUACUACCUCUCCCAGUCCCUCUUCAAGUUUGUCGAGCGGCGGCUGCGCAUGCUCGACGUGUCCGUGCAGGAUCGGCGCACGACGACGCUGAGUAAGAUGGCGGCGUGGUUCAAGGGCAAGGACGAGGGCCGGCCCCGCACUGCCGACGUAGUAAAAACGCCGAACGGCUUGGACUCGUCUGCAUUCCCAAGGUACGUAGCGCACUCGCUGGAGAUGCAGAUGCGGCACUGCGGUGAUCUCUCGCUGGCGCUGCACGACCUGAAAGGCGCUAUCUCGUACUACCGCAUGUGCAUCGAGGAGCUGCUCGAGACGCUGGCGCUGCGGCCGUACAACCGGGCCCUCAUCGCGGCUUGCCAAGAGGGCAUCGGCGUGGCGCAGCUCCUGCAGGGCAAGCUGGUGCCUCAGAGCCUGACACCGUGGUACACCGGCGUGACCUCCGCGACGCAGCGGGUGAGCUCGCAGACAAACCGUUGGGAGGUGGCGUGGAACGACUACUUGGCGGCUGGAACGCCAACGCACGCGGUGCGCGUUGCCUUUCUGCUCUACGAGAGCAGCCGAGUCCGCACCCCGCCCAUGCUGGAUCGGUGUCAUGCGAUCCUGACACACCUGCUGCGGAGCGGCAUCCUGCAGCGGCAAAAUCUGUUGAGUGGCGUCGUGAACGACUUGUUGGCCGGCAUCGCGGCCUUCACAAACCCGCCUUUUCCAGCUGGGUUAGAGGUGCCACCAUCGAUCCCGAGAGACUACCCUGUGUACAUGAACCUGCGCCGGUUUGCGCAGCGGCUGCAGCGGGCAGGCGCCCUGUACCGCGCCGACAACUCACUGGAGCAGGCGCUGCGGUGCUACCUGCGUGUGCUGCAGCUGCUCCGCGCGAUUGACCCGCAGGAGACGUGGAAGACGCUCACCGAGCACCUCUACCUGACCGCCGGCCAGCUCUACAUGCAGCUGGGCCAGGACGUGCGCGGAAUCGCCAUGACAAGCGUCGCCGUCGCGCAAGGGACACCGUUGUAUCGUCACCCUGCCACCGCGCAGCAGGCGUUCGAGGGCUUCUGGGCACAGCAGAAGCGCAUGCUCUCCAGCAUGGGCUACGCUCUGUGCCCGCACAUGCCGAUGCCUCGCAUACUGCGCGGCUCCUUUCGCGUGGACCGCAACUACUACAGCACCGACACACUGACCGACGACGCGGCGCGCAAGAUGAGCGAGGCAGCAGCAGAGACGGAAUGGCACAGCAUGGAGAAGCAUCUAAAGAAGAACUACACGGAAACGGUGCUGAGGGCACACCCGUCCUACCGCUUCCCGGCCUUCCACGGAGGCAGCAAAUAUGGCUGCGGCGGCACUGCUCACAGCCGGCGCAGCCAGGACGGCCACAGUGGGAGCUGUAGCACGGCCAACAGCAGCUAUCGGUACAACACGGCAGCCGACAGACGCGGCGGGGCCUCGUCGCCGGCGGUGUCGCAGCAAGCAGGUGCGCGUCAGGACGACCACGUGUUUCCUAUGGCAGAGGCGGCGUCAGGGAGCGCUGCACAGCCGCAGCGGCGCUUCACUAUCGCAAAGGCCGAGCCGCUCGCGCUCAACUUUGUUAUGGAGAACAUCAUCGGCUGCUCGAUUGAGGCGACCGAUUUGACGCUGCUCUACCUCGACUACGCGUCACCGGAGCAGCUGUGGAAGAGCUCGAUGACGCAGACGGUGCGCCUCGAGGCCGGCGCGCGUCGGCGCGUCUCCCUCUCCUUCGACCCUGUGUCAGAGGGCGAGUACGCUAUCAUCGGCCUGUGCUGGUCCUUGCUGGGUCAGGAGGGGUACUACUACUUUGCAACGCGGGAAAGCCGGCCUGGGUGUCCGGAGAGCCUGUACGAGUACGCGAUUGAGAACCCGAUGCCCUCCCUCGAUGCCCCGGAGAACAUCCACGUGAGCGUGACGCCGUCGAAGGCGUGUGUCACGGCCACCUUUCAGCCUCCGAUUCCGGAACACCUAUGCGACGGCGAGUACUUUUACACCAACCUCGUCGUGCGCAACACCAGCGCGCAGCAGGACGCGGUACACGUGGUUCUGCAGCGUAGCCCCGCGGCAUCGCAUCUCAUGUACAUCGAGGAAUUCGGCCGGCUGCAGAAUCUCGAGCGGGAGGCUCCGUUGGUGCUGGCAGAGCACCUGAAGGCGCAAGAGACUCGCACCUUCGCCGUCACCAUACGUGCGCAACAUCGGCGCAGCGAUGCGGCGCUGCAGAACACGCCCAAUUACUUUUUUCUGCUGAUUGCCUACCUUUCCGGGCCCCUGCCGGAGCCAGAGAAGCUGCCGCCGUGCUUGUUCGCGAGCGCCGCGGAGCUCGACCCCGCGAAUGCGACCCCGCCGACGGAGUCCGCGCUGACGUCGACGAUGGCGUCGCCCACCUCACUGCUGCACCGGCAGCUACACAGCCCCACAGCUGCUGUUGCGGCCCACAAGGCCGCGGGCGGGCCGGCGGUCAUGGUAUGCCUGCAUCGGCUGCUGCGCCGGUGCGAAGUCCAGCCAGUCGUGGCAAUGCACUCGACAGUGCUGCCGCCAGCCAACGCGUCACUGCAAACAGCCGUGGUGCUGACGGUGAAGAACAUUAGCCCGGCCGUGGUACGUGCGCCGGUCACCGCUACUGCCGCGACCGCAAUCACCACCACAAGCGGCGAGCCUGCCUCCAUCACUCCGGCGAGCACCCCGGAUGUCGUGCAAGCAGUGCCGGUAUCCAGCAGCGGAAGCGCGGCAUCGUCGUGUCAUACCCACGCCAGAGGCCACUCGUACGCGCCAGUGCGCGUUGCCCGCGUGUUGGUCGUGCACAGUCCCCGCUGGGGUGUCGAGCACAAGGGCACAGAAGAGCUGUUUGCGGACUGCGCCGUGCACUGCCUGCUCUCCCACGGAGACUCGCUGACGCUGCCUCUGCUGGUAAAGCGGCAACCGCGCGCCGCAGAAGGGGCAGAUGCGACGGUGCGGCGCGUGUCGCUGAGCGACGGCGCCGCCGCCACCAGCGCCGGGGCGCAAUGCCCGUACCGCGACACCACGUGCAUAGCGCUGGCGAAGGCACUUCCGUCGCCAGCACGCGCGAAGGCCGUGGAGGAGCACCUCGGCACGUCUGUAUCCCAGUCGGAGCGCAAUCUUUUCUUUCUGCAAACCUCGUGUGUUGGGCCGGGCCACGUCGGCGCACGCCCGUCCGCGGACGAGGCCGGCGGCGGCUUAGCGUUCUACGCCGACAAAGCUGGGCAACAGAAGGAGGCAACGAAGACAGCAAAACAGCGCCGAUGCGACGAGGCGGACGAGGAGCGGCGUCUCUGCGGGGGCCCGAUAGAGCAGUACACCCCACUCGCCAUCGCCGUGGCGUGGGUGCGCGAAGAGGGUGGCGGUGCUGAGAGUCAUAAGAAACACAGUGGUGUUGGUGGUGAUCUGGGCCAGCGAGAAGGCCAGGUGUUCCUCUUCGUGGACCCCAUCGAGCACGUGUACCAGACAGUGGCGCAGCAGCAGAAGCGGCAGGCUGAGCAGGAGUCGGCGACGUCGCUGCGGCCGGCCCUCAGCGCCGUCAGGGCUGGCGUGUCGGCCGAGCAAACCCAGCAAGAGCUCUGCGAGGCCAUGCUGGUGCGCUACGCCAGCCUCAAGCGCUGGCAGGGAGCCUUGGUGUCGCACGUUCAGGCACCCCCAGUCGUGCGAGUCACACCGAGCCGAGCAUCGGACAAGACUGUUGCUGCCCCGGUGCCGGUGACGCUGCGCUGCCUGUCGCUGGCGCCGGUGCCGCUGCUCGUGACCGCCGAGGCCCUGCCGCCCCCUGUGCCGCACCAUUCUCUCUCCUUCCUCAAGCACGCUCGCGAAGGAGGAGCGAGGGGCGACCAGGCCGCCAGCCCUGCCACACCACCACCACCACCGUCUCCUCCGGCAGCGAUGACGGCGAGCGGGUCCGAUGUGCCGGUGCUGUUUGUAGGGAAGACAGUGCACACAUUCUUGCUGAUGCCGAGCGAGGAGUACGAGGUGCAGUUCACGGCGCUCGCACUGCGCCCUGGGCUGGUGGACUGCCAGCGCAUCUCUCUCAGUGCUGCCUCCAUCUGCUACUUGCACAGCACCGCCGAAAAAGACGACGACGGCGCUGAUGGCGCUGACGAGAUGCGAGGCACGGAGGGUGCGCAGCCGCUCAUGUGCACGGGUAUGACACUUCCGUCUCUCAUCCGCGCCUUGCUGAGUCACAAGACACCGUCGGCAGCGCCCAGAACUGCACCGCGCGUGUUGCUCUCAGACCGGCAGCUGUGUGGGCGCCAGCGACCCGACGACGGCGCAGACAUGCGCAGCGGCGCGGAACGGUGCGGACGCCGGCAAGCCCUGCAGGGGUAUCUGGCGGCUGCAGCGCAUAGCAGUGUGAUGACGCUGGUAGAACGCUACGGCACCCGGGCGGCGGAGCUGGUGCGCCAGCUUGCCCCUCUCGGCCCGGCCGGUGGUGCGACAGUCAGCCAGGUGAUGUCCUACACUGCGCCUGCUCUAACCCGCGUCAUCAUGGUCGAUGACCGCGCCGCUACAUCGACCGCUGUGGGGGAGGGUUCUGGGGUGACGGUGCGGAAAGCCGCACCCGCGGCUGCUCCUGUCGCGGCCGUGAGCGCCCCCUCCACCGCAGCGGCUGCGGCGACGCGCUCGCAUGACGCCGCUCGCAAAUUCUUCCGCCAGCUGGAGAUCUUCGAAACGGAGCUCGAGAGAGCGAGGCUCGGCAACGUGUCGGACCCCCAUGGGCUGCAAUACGUAUACCGCCCCACCGUCAAGAUGGCGGGGGGCGGCACGUCCAGGGGCGGCCACUGCACAGCCAACAGCUCCUUUGCCACGCCCAGGUCGGUCACCAGCGUCGCAGGCGUCGGUGGCAGCGCGGCAGCCCCUUUGCGCAGCCCCUCCUGGAGUACGCCCCUGAUGCCAGCGGCAGCGCCGCCACCCCUAACGGAAGAAGCUACGGCCAUAGGCAACGGAGGAGUCUCGGCGCCCGACAGUGUCGGUGGCUCCUGGGUGGCCGAUCUGGUCUCGGCAACGUCGCGCAAGAUGGACAGCGUCGCGCAGCCCGCGGUUGUGGCCGCCGUCGGCGCCCAAGGAACCUUCUCCUCGGUUCGAUCACCUGCGCGGCAGCCGUGCGACGAUGCCGAGGAGCUGGGCAGCCCUCUUCACCUCCCCGCAGUUGCGUUCGAGAGCCACGCAGCGGAGGCGGCAUUCACCCUCGAUAUCAGUGAGACGAGCUCGCCCUUGCAAUGGUCGCACGAUGGUCCGCAUCCGCUGAGCGGCGCUGACGGGAUGGGUAGUGUUGAAUGCAUGGCGGAGUUGGCGGUGCGCGAGGACUCGGACCCUCUGUGCGUGGCUGGCACCAAGACGCAGAUCGGCCUCGUGUCUCCGAUGCGGCAGCUGCGCUCGAGCGAUGUCAGGAUUGCAUGUGCCGCUGACGUGUGCGACGGUACCGAAGUGCUGAUGAACGCAGCUGACGCCAAGGAUACGGAAACGUGGACUUCGCCGGCAGCGAGGCACGCGCCUUCUCUGCCACGGCACUCACAGGAAGCCGGGAACUCUCAGGAAGCAGAGCAUUCCGCUUUCGCCGCUUGGGUACACAAUCCGCUAUCGCCGUCCUCUGCUUCUGGCAUUGCGGCAUCUUCCCCAGCUGGCUUCACCGCUGACGUCGCUGUAGGCAUCCCCCCGCCCUCCCCGUCGUCCUCAUCCCUCCCGCCAUCGGGAGCAGCCGCAGUCGACGCGACGACGCCACCGACAUGAAUGCACAGCAGUGCAGCUGGAUGGGCAGAGCAACGUUGUUGUGCACGUGUGCCGCGCGCAUGAGUAGUGCGCUUAUGUGUGUAUGCGUCUCCUGGAGGUGGUGCUUGGCACUGUGCGCGGAUGAAGCGUGGGAGCUGUCCAUGCGUGUGCGCCUGUGUCGCUGCGUGUUUGCCGAGUGUGUGGUGCCGGUGUGUGUGUGUGUGUUCCAGGGGGGGGGGGCAGUCUUUAUUUACUUGGUCACUUCUCGAGCUCAACAGCAAGCUGAACUCUCCCCCCGCUCAUCCCCUUCAAUCAGCACAGGAGGGAGCAUAGCUAUCCUCG